AGCAGCAGAGGUCCCGUUCAACAAACAUGCCCCUCGCCUUUUACUAGGGGCAUCCGGGAUGGGGCCUCACAAUAUGCUGCGGUACAAUCUUUGGAUCCUUUCGCCUUUCAGGCGAU
This 116-nucleotide small nuclear RNA is filed under the name Schizophyllum commune H4-8. RNAcentral describes it as "U5 spliceosomal RNA". It matches the Rfam family "U5 spliceosomal RNA". From Rfam's summary of the family: U5 RNA is a component of both types of known spliceosome. The precise function of this molecule is unknown, though it is known that the 5' loop is required for splice site selection and p220 binding, and that both the 3' stem-loop and the Sm site are important for Sm protein binding and cap methylation. The record is from Rfam by way of RNAcentral. Lineage: Eukaryota; Fungi; Basidiomycota; Agaricomycetes; Agaricales; Schizophyllaceae.